UACGGAGGGGGCGAGCGUUGUCCGAAGUUACUGGGCGUAAAGCGCGCGUAGGCGGGUUGGUAAGUCCGCUGUGAAAGCCCGGAGCUUAACUCCGGAGGGUCGGUGGAUACUGCCAGUCUUGAAGGUGCUAGGGGGAGAUGGAAUUACCGGUGUAGCGGUGAAAUGCGUAGAUAUCGGUAGGAACACCAGUGGCGAAGGCGGUCUCCUGGGGCAUUCUUGACGCUGAGGCACGAAAGCCAGGGGAGCAAACGGG
This 253-nucleotide ribosomal RNA is filed under the name uncultured bacterium. RNAcentral's name for it is "partial 16S ribosomal RNA". It matches the Rfam family "Bacterial small subunit ribosomal RNA", at positions 524 to 776 of the family's 1533-position model. The record is from RNAcentral.